Molecule: unclassified non-coding RNA, 351 nt
Filed under: Ramaria sp.
Lineage: Eukaryota; Fungi; Basidiomycota; Agaricomycetes; Gomphales; Gomphaceae
Description: partial contains 5.8S ribosomal RNA, internal transcribed spacer 2, and large subunit ribosomal RNA
Source: RNAcentral
CGCAUCUUGCGCCCCUUGGUUAUUCCGAGGGGCAUGCCUGUUUGAGUGUCGUUAUCCUUCUCACUCCUUUCUCUCUAACGUUUUCAUUAGCGUCGGAGAGGGGAGUGGAUCGUGGCCCCUGCCGUCUUCUUCACUAAGGUGGAGGGAACAGCUGGGCCGAAAGAUAGACAAGUGCCUUCGUUGGAUAAGCAGUCGAACGCUUGACGUUGUAACCAUCCUCGUCUUGUUCGAUCAGCGUGCUAUCUGAAGAGGGCGACUUUGGAAACCCACCUCGGUUUUGUCUUUCACCGGACAAGUCCAAGAAUACAAGAAUAUGACCUCAAAUCAGGCAGGACUACCCGCUGAACUUAA